AAUGAACGCUGGCGGCGUGGAUUAGGCAUGCAAGUCCAGGGGGAAAAUUCCCUUCGGGGGAUGAGUACACCGGCGAACUGGUUAGUAACAGGUGGGGAACGUGCCCCGAGGCCGGGGAUAACCGUCUGGAAACAGCGGCUAAGACCCGAUUCGGCCCGGCAGUCUUUCGGAUAGCCGGCGCCCAAAGGCGCUCCUUCGGGAGUGCCGCCGCGGGAUCGCCCCGCCCCCGAUUAGCUAGAUGGCGAGGUAACGGCUCACCAUGGCUGCGAUCGGUAGCUGGUCUGAGAGGACGGUCAGCAACACUGGGACUGAGAUACGGCCCAGACUCCUAC
RNAcentral lists this ribosomal RNA (332 nucleotides) under uncultured bacterium. RNAcentral describes it as "bacterial SSU rRNA". It matches the Rfam family "Bacterial small subunit ribosomal RNA", at positions 28 to 342 of the family's 1533-position model. The record is from RNAcentral.